CACUAUGCUUAGCCCUAAACAUAAAUAGUUAUAUAAACAAAACUAUUCGCCAGAGUACUACCGGCAAUAGCUUAAAACUCAAAGGACUUGGCGGUGCUUUAUACCCUUCUAGAGGAGCCUGUUCUAUAAUCGAUAAACCCCGAUAGACCUUACCACCCCUUGCUAAUACAGUCUAUAUACCGCCAUCUUCAGCAAACCCUAAAAAGGAGCAAAAGUAAGCACAAUCACUAUACAUAAAAACGUUAGGUCAAGGUGUAACCUAUGGAGUGGAAAGAAAUGGGCUACAUUUUCUAAUCUAAGAAAACUCUUUACGAAAGUUACUAUGAAAUUAGUAACCAAAGGAGGAUUUAGCAGUAAACUAAGAAUAGAGUGCUUAGUUGAAUUAGGCCAUGAAGCACGCACACACCGCCCGUCACCCUCUUCAAAUAGGCACAAUACACUUAAAUUUAAUUAUACGUAUUAAUCAUAUGAGAAGAGAUAAGUCGUAACAAGGUAAGCAUACUGGAAAGUGUGCUUGGAUAA
RNAcentral lists this ribosomal RNA (522 nucleotides) under Odocoileus virginianus (white-tailed deer). Its description in RNAcentral is "partial 12S ribosomal RNA". It matches the Rfam family "Bacterial small subunit ribosomal RNA", at positions 788 to 1523 of the family's 1533-position model. The record is from RNAcentral. Lineage: Eukaryota; Metazoa; Chordata; Mammalia; Artiodactyla; Cervidae.